This 24-nucleotide non-coding RNA is filed under the name Arabidopsis thaliana (thale cress). Lineage: Eukaryota; Viridiplantae; Streptophyta; Magnoliopsida; Brassicales; Brassicaceae. The record is from RNAcentral.
GAUUCUUGUGAAUACCGAACAAAG